AGAGUUUGAUCCUGGCUCAGGAUGAACGCUGGCGGUAUGCCUAACACAUGCAAGUCGUACGAGAGUUUUUAACUCUAGUGGCGGACGGGUGAGUAACACGUGAGAAUUUACCUUUAGGAGGGGGAUAACAAUUGGAAACGAAUGCUAAUACCCCAUAUGCUUCAGAGUGAAAUGGAUUUAUAUUUAUCCGCCUAAAGAGAAGCUCGCGGCUGAUUAGCUUGUUGGUAAGGUAAGAGCUUACCAAGGCGACGAUCAGUAUCUGGUUUGAGAGGACGAUCAGACACACUGGAACUGAGACACGGUCCAGACUCCUACGGGAGGCAGCAGUGGGGAAUUUUCCGCAAUGGGCGAAAGCCUGACGGAGCAAUACCGCGUGAGGGAAGACUGCCUAUGGGUUGUAAACCUCUUUUUUCAGGGAGGAAUAAAAUGACGUGUACCUGAAGAAUAAGCAUCGGCUAACUCCGUGCCAGCAGCCGCGGUAAGACGGAGGAUGCAAGUGUUAUCCGGAAUCACUGGGCGUAAAGCGUCUGUAGGUGGUUUAAUAAGUCAACUGUUAAAUCUUGAGGCUCAACUUCAAAAUCGCAGUCGAAACUAUUAGACUAGAGUAUAGUAGAGGUAAAGGGAAUUUCCAGUGGAGCGGUGAAAUGCGUAGAUAUUGGAAAGAACACCGAUGGCGAAAGCACUUUACUGGGCUAUUACUAACACUCAGAGACGAAAGCUAGGGUAGCAAAUGGGAUUAGAUACCCCAGUAGUCCUAGCCGUAAACUAUGGAUACUAGAUGUUGAACAGAUCGACCUGUGCAGUAUCAAAGCUAACGCGUUAAGUAUCCCGCCUGGGAAGUAUGCUCGCAAGAGUGAAACUCAAAGGAAUUGACGG
Molecule: ribosomal RNA, 876 nt
Filed under: uncultured bacterium
Lineage: Bacteria
Description: bacterial SSU rRNA
Rfam family: Bacterial small subunit ribosomal RNA
Source: RNAcentral